UCGAUUAGAGUUUGAUCCUGGCUCAGAAUCAACGCUGGCGGCGCGCUUAACACAUGCAAGUCGAGCGAGAAAGUGGAGCAAUCCAUGAGUAAAGCGGCGUACGGGUGAGUAACACGUGGAUGAUCUACCUUUUAGUGGGGGAUAACUUUGGGAAACCGAAGCUAAUACCGCAUAAGCCCUUAUCGGGAAAGCAGCAAUGCGCUGAAAGAGGAGUCCGCGGCCGAUUAGCUAGUUGGUGAGGUAACGGCCCACCAAGGCGAUGAUCGGUAGCCGGCCUGAGAGGGCACACGGCCACACUGGCACUGAAACACGGGCCAGACUCCUACGGGAGGCAGCAGUGGGGAAUCUUGCACAAUGGGGGCAACCCUGAUGCAGCGACGCCGCGUGAACGAUGAAGCCCUUCGGGGUGUAAAGUUCUUUCGGCAGGGACGAUAAUGACGGUACCUGAAGAAGAAGCUGCGGCCAACUACGUGCCAGCAGCCGCGGUAAUACGUAGGCAGCGAGCGUUGUUCGGAAUUACUGGGCGUAAAGAGUGUGUAGGCGGUGCUCUAAGUUCGGUGUGAAAUCUCCUGGCUUAACUGGGAGGGUGCGCCGAAAACUGGAGUGCUCGAACGUGGGAGAGGAAAGCGGAAUUCCUGGUGUAGCGGUGAAAUGCGUAGAUAUCAGGAGGAACACCUGCGGUGUAGACGGCUUUCUGGACCAUUGUUGACGCUGAGACACGAAAGCGU
RNAcentral lists this ribosomal RNA (728 nucleotides) under uncultured bacterium. RNAcentral's name for it is "bacterial SSU rRNA". It matches the Rfam family "Bacterial small subunit ribosomal RNA", at positions 1 to 762 of the family's 1533-position model. The record is from RNAcentral.